CUGACCCAGCGACGCCGCGUGAGGGAUGAAGNNNNNCGGGUUGUAAANNNCNUUCAGCAGGGAAGAAGCGAAAGUGACGGUACCUGCAGAAGAAGCACCGGCUAACUAUGUGCCAGCAGCCGCGGUAAUACAUAGGGUGCAAGCGUUGUCCGGAAUUAUUGGGCGUAAAGAGCUCGUAGGUGGUUAGUUACGUCGGAUGUGAAAAUCUAGGGCUCAACCCUAGACCUGCAUCCGAUACGGGCUAGCUUGAGUUUGGUAGGGGAGACUGGAAUUCCUGGUGUAGCGGUGGAAUGCGCAGAUAUCAGGAGGAACACCAAUGGCGAAGGCAGGUCUCUGGGCCAAUACUGACACUGAGGAGCGAAAGUGUGGGGAGCGAACAGGAUUAGAUACCCUGGUAGUCCACACAGUAAACGAUGGGCACCAGUUGUGGGAACCUUCCACGGUUUCUGCGACGCAGCUAACGCAUUAAGUGCCCCGCCUGGGGAGUACGAUCGCAAGAUUAAAACUCAAAGGAAUUGACGGGGCCCCGCACAAGCAGCGGAGCAUGCGGCUUAAUUCGACGCAACGCGAAGAACCUUACCAAGGCUUGACAUAUACAGGAAUAUGGCAGAGAUGUCAUAGCCGCAAGGUCUAUAUACAGGUGGUGCAUGGUUGUCGUCAGCUCGUGUCGUGAGAUGUUGGGUUAAGUCCCGCAACGAGCGCAACCCUCGUUCUGUGUUGCCAGCAUUUAGUUGGGGACUCACAGGAGACUGCCGGGGUCAACUCGGAGGAAGGU
This 775-nucleotide ribosomal RNA is filed under the name uncultured bacterium. Its description in RNAcentral is "bacterial SSU rRNA". It matches the Rfam family "Bacterial small subunit ribosomal RNA", at positions 383 to 1174 of the family's 1533-position model. The record is from RNAcentral.